RNAcentral lists this ribosomal RNA (568 nucleotides) under Colletotrichum fragariae. RNAcentral's name for it is "eukaryotic LSU rRNA". The stretch from base 205 to 358 matches the Rfam family "5.8S ribosomal RNA". The record is from RNAcentral. Lineage: Eukaryota; Fungi; Ascomycota; Sordariomycetes; Glomerellales; Glomerellaceae.
UCCGUUGGUGAACCAGCGGAGGGAUCAUUACUGAGUUUACGCUCUACAACCCUUUGUGAACAUACCUACAACUGUUGCUUCGGCGGGUAGGGUCCCCGUGACCCUCCCGGCCUCCCGCCCCCCCGGGCGGGUCGGCGCCCGCCGGAGGAUAACCAAACUCUGAUUUAACGACGUUUCUUCUGAGUGGUACAAGCAAAUAAUCAAAACUUUUAACAACGGAUCUCUUGGUUCUGGCAUCGAUGAAGAACGCAGCGAAAUGCGAUAAGUAAUGUGAAUUGCAGAAUUCAGUGAAUCAUCGAAUCUUUGAACGCACAUUGCGCCCGCCAGCAUUCUGGCGGGCAUGCCUGUUCGAGCGUCAUUUCAACCCUCAAGCUCUGCUUGGUGUUGGGGCCCUACAGCUGAUGUAGGCCCUCAAAGGUAGUGGCGGACCCUCCCGGAGCCUCCUUUGCGUAGUAACUUUACGUCUCGCACUGGGAUCCGGAGGGACUCUUGCCGUAAAACCCCCCAAUUUUCCAAAGGUUGACCUCGGAUCAGGUAGGAAUACCCGCUGAACUUAAGCAUAUCAAUA